UAUCCGCCAGAGAACUACAAGUGAAAAACUUGAAACUCAAAGGACUUGACGGUGUCCCAUAUCAACCUAGAGGAGCCUGUCCUAUAAUCGAUACCCCUCGCUCUACCUUACCUUGACUAGCAAAACUCAGCCUAUAUACCGCCGUCGACAGCCUACCCUAUGAAGGUCUAACAGUAGACACAAUAGCCACACCGCUAGUACGUCAGGUCAAGGUGUAGCAAAUGUUAAGGAAGUGAUUGGCUACAUUUUUUAAUUUUUAAAAAACACGGAAUGCACCAUGAAACCGCUCAUGAAGGUGAAUUUAGUAGUAAAGCAGAUAAGAGUAUCUACUUUAACAAUGCUCUGGGACGCGUACACACCGCCC
This 364-nucleotide ribosomal RNA is filed under the name Phoenicolacerta kulzeri (common Eurasian lizard). RNAcentral's name for it is "partial 12S ribosomal RNA". It matches the Rfam family "Bacterial small subunit ribosomal RNA", at positions 866 to 1395 of the family's 1533-position model. The record is from RNAcentral. Lineage: Eukaryota; Metazoa; Chordata; Lepidosauria; Squamata; Lacertidae.